Molecule: non-coding RNA, 762 nt
Filed under: Streptomyces afghaniensis 772
Lineage: Bacteria; Bacillati; Actinomycetota; Actinomycetes; Kitasatosporales; Streptomycetaceae
Description: Bacterial large subunit ribosomal RNA
Rfam family: Bacterial large subunit ribosomal RNA
Source: Rfam by way of RNAcentral
CUAACGCCAGUUAGUGUGGAGUCGUCGUUGAAAUACCAGUCUGGUCGUGCUGGAUGUCUAACCUGGGUCCGUGAUCCGGAUCAGGGACAGUGUCUGAUGGGUAGUUUAACUGGGGCGGUUGCCUCCUAAAGAGUAACGGAGGCGCCCAAAGGUUCCCUCAGCCUGGUUGGCAAUCAGGUGUGGAGUGUAAGUGCACAAGGGAGCUUGACUGUGAGACCGACGGGUCGAGCAGGGACGAAAGUCGGGACUAGUGAUCCGGCGGUGGCUUGUGGAAGCGCCGUCGCUCAACGGAUAAAAGGUACCCCGGGGAUAACAGGCUGAUCUUCCCCAAGAGUCCAUAUCGACGGGAUGGUUUGGCACCUCGAUGUCGGCUCGUCGCAUCCUGGGGCUGGAGUCGGUCCCAAGGGUUGGGCUGUUCGCCCAUUAAAGCGGUACGCGAGCUGGGUUUAGAACGUCGUGAGACAGUUCGGUCCCUAUCCGCUGUGCGCGUAGGAGUCUUGAGAAGGGCUGUCCCUAGUACGAGAGGACCGGGACGGACGAACCUCUGGUGUGCCAGUUGUUCUGCCAAGGGCAUGGCUGGUUGGCUACGUUCGGGAGGGAUAACCGCUGAAAGCAUCUAAGCGGGAAGCCUGCUUCGAGAUGAGGACUCCCACCUCCUAGAGAGGGUAAGGCUCCCAGUAGACGACUGGGUUGAUAGGCCGGAUAUGGAAGCACGGUAACGUGUGGAGUUGACCGGUACUAAUAGGCCGAGGGCUUGUCCUC